CUCUGCUCACACUGCGUUCGUCUGACUUGGUAGCUGGGGCGAGCCAGACAUGCGCCUUCAUUGGAUUUCUAAAAGAUAAACAGACAAUUAGGACAAUAUUUUAAUCAAUUCCUCGUGAUUAAGAAUAUAUAUAGACUACUGUAUAUUCCCUAUUCACACGCGUUACAUUGUUAAUCCGAGUAUGCGCACUGAACGCCUCCAUUGUCUACCAGCAGCAAGGAGUGAGAGCGAGCGCGCGGAUAUGAGAAUGCAGGGGAGCGGCAUACAUUGACCCAAAUCUCCGGGAACCGGAGAACAAGCGGACCCGGACACACGUAUGUCGUUGGAAAGACAGACUGGCAGACAGACAGCAACAGUUGUCAUGGAUAUGGUUAUGAUCAGCUGAACCCGUCUUCAAGACAAAAAUAAUAACAUUAAAGGGGGGUAGCCUAGCCUACUGCAGGGAAGCGCGACUGUCGGAACCGUUGUUGCGCUUUGUGCUUGUCAUCAUCCCUGUUGUGAUUUGGAGCAGGCUGUCCUGUCAUUCGUUGUGAGGGGAAAACGUUUUGCUUAUCUUCAUCAAAGGGAGUUGUUUUUCUGUCAUUCAUUUGACAUCAUCCUCCUAUAAAUGAUCGUUUUUCUCUGUUGAGCUGAAUCAAAACAUUCGAGUCGCUCAUGUUCCUGUCAGGGAAAUGGGCUGUUGCGUCUGUUAUACACAGCUGCUUUAGUCAGACUUGACAACCGGGAUUUUUUAAAGCUGCCGUUUUGUCCCUGGCAAGAGGCGAUCAAGUGCACUGCAGACAGGCGUGUCGGGGGCGAUUCCAGUGACGGCUCUCGACUCUCUGCGGGAGCCCCGUUUCAACAGCCCCCACCCAAUUUUAUCGGGCGAUUUGGAUGGGGGGCAAGCAGAGUACGGCAGGGCGGCCCCGGGGUGCUUUUCACGGUGUCUCGGCGGAUGACAGCGCAGUGGCACCCUCGGCCCACUUUGGGCACUACCGACCAAGUGGCACUAUGGGGUUACGCAGCCGCUCAGUGAGUUCUGUGGCUGGGAUGGGCAUAGAACAUAGUCCUACGGUGCCCUUUGGUUUUUAUACCCCCAGAGGAACAGACUCGGACAGGGCUGGAGGGGGGUCUGGCACUAACGCCGCCCAUGGUAACGGCUACCAGGAAACGGGCAGCGGGCAUCACACGGAUGGUAUGCUCUAUCUGGGCUCCCGAGGGUCGUUGGCAGACACCUUGCCCCUGCACAUUGCACCCCGGUGGUUUAGCGCCCACAGUGGGUUCAAGUGUCCUGUCUGCUCCAAGUCUGUGGCAUCUAAUGAGAUGGAGGUGCACUUCAUCAUGUGUCUAAGCAAGCCCCGCCUGUCCUACAACGAUGACGUGCUGGCCAGGGAUGCCGGGGAGUGUGUAAUCUGUCUGGAGGAGCUGCAGCAAGGAAACACCAUCGCCAGACUGCCGUGCCUCUGCAUCUACCACAAAAGCUGUAUAGACUCCUGGUUUGAGAUCAAUCGUUCCUGCCCUGAGCAUCCUUCAGACUGACUGACCUCUGUGCUCCUACUCCUACUGUUCAAGGACACUUUAUGUUCCUAUCAUGGAUAUCUGGACACUGAAGUAACCAAAAAAACUAAACAAUCAAAACAACCUAUCUAUCAAUUGAUCUAUCAAUCUAUCAAGAGAAUUCCUAGCAAACGGAACCAAGAGAAAAAACAUUUAAGCUUAUACUUUCACUUCCACAUGCAUAAAAGAGUGCCCCUCCUCCCUGCCACCUCCCCCUAGCCCUAAAGGCUGCUAACUGCCAGUCCCUAUGUUGGCCCAACUAGGCUGACCAUCCCUCCAGGCCAACUGCCUCACCAGGCUGCUUGGCCCCCAGCCAGCCAGUCACCACGCCACAUGGCCUGGUCCUCUCUGGGCUCCUCCGGGGGUCUGGCCCUUGCUCUGCUCUGCCUUCCAUUUUGCCUCCUGAGUUUGGCCCUGCCUGGCUCCAUAUCAUUCAUCUGGAUCCAGCCAUCUCAUGGCCUUCAUCAGGAAGAGACAGAGGAGGAUAAUGAAGAUAAAGAUGAAGAAUAUGGCUGGAUGAAUCCUGUGUGCCAGGGCAGGGUAGACUCCCAGGACGUUGUCUGGUUUUUGCUGCGAUGGGGAAACGCUGACCAGAAUUAGUCAUUUCCCUGUAAGGGCCUUGAGUGUGUUCGUAUGUGUGAUGCCUCUUGGUCUAAGCUACUGUCUGUGCCCCACAUGUUUUCUGAUGAAAUAGGUCAGGUCCUCUCUGGUUGUGUUGGCUGAUGUGACUUAAUGUAAUGGACGUAUUAAAGACCUAAAUGACAGUCACAUCGUGGAGCUAUUGGAGCUAUUCCGGGGUUAUAUUCACAUUUAACAAGAUUUGUUUUCGCAAAUCUGUCAGAAAACAUACAUUACUCUUCAGAAUGACUCUAGUGUAUAAAGAAUAACAGAAUGAUUAUUCUGGAAGAAAACAACGAACAUAGCUCAACAAAUGGGUGAAUAUUUUUUCACUUUCUGUAGGGUGAAAAUGUAGAGAAUAUAGUACCUGUGAGGCCACUAUAAACAAUUCAUUAGCAAGCAGACAACCACCAAGUUUCAACUGAACAAGGAACACAGGGAAGACAGACUACUAGUCAGUUAUGAUAGAGUAUACUAUACAUAUUCAUGUCUCCUGCUAACUGUAUCCCUGCCCGACUCUGCUAAAGGGCCAUAUACCUUGAUUUCAUUUAAUGUUUUGAGAUUACUUUUUUUCCAAGGAUGUGAAUGGGUGCCUGUUUUGGAGGUACCAACUAAUUGUUUGAUCAUUUUGAUGUGCAAUCUGUGGGAUGAAUACUGAUAAUGAUAUAUACACAGUACCAGUCAAAAGUUUGGACACAGCAACUCCUUCAAGGGUUUUUCUUUAUUUGUACUAUUUUCUACACUGUAGAAUAAUAGUGAAGACGUCAAAACCUUCAAAUAACACAUAUGGAAUCAUGCAGUAACCAAAAAAGUGUUAAAUAAAUCAAUAUAUGUUUUAUAUUUUAGAUUCUUCAAAAUAGCCACCCAUUGCCUUGAUGACAGCUUUGCACUCCAUCACUCUCCUUCUUGAUCAAAUAGCCCUUACAGGCUGCAGGUGUGUUGGGUCAUUGUCCAGCUGAAAAACAAAUGAUAGUCCCACUAAGCGCAAACCAGAUGGGAUGGCUUAUCGCUACAGAAUGCUGUGUAAACCAUGCUGGUUAAGUGUGCCUUGAAUUCUAAAUAUAUCACGGAUAGUGUCACCAGCAAAACCCCCCCACACCAUCACACCUCCUCCUCCAUGCUUCACAGUGGGAACCACACCUGCAGAGAUCAUCCGUUCACCUACUCUGCGUCUCACAAAGACACGGCGGUUGGAACCAAAAAUCAAACAUUUGGACUCAUCAAACCAAAGGACAGAUUUCCACUGGUCUAAUGUUCAUUGCUCAUAUUUCUUGGCCCAAGCAAGUCUCUUCUUAUUAUUUGUGUCCUUAAGUAGUGGUUUCUUUGCAGCAAUUUGACAAUGAAGGCCUGAUUCACGCAGUCUCCUCUGAACAGUUAAUGUUGAGAUGUGUCUGUUACUUGAACUCUGUGAAGCAUUUGAUGCUUGAUGGUUUUUACACUUGGAGUUCUUGAAAUGUUCCGGAUUGACUGACCUUCAUGUCUUAAAGUAAUGAUGGACUGUCGUUUAUCUUUGCUUAUUUGAGCUGUUCUUGCCAUAAUAUGAACUUGGUAUUUUACCAAAUAGGGCUAUCUUCUGUACACCACCCCUACCUUGUCACAACACAACUGAUUGGCUCAAACUCAUUAAGAAGGAAUGAAAUUCCACACCUGUUAAUUGAAAUGCAUUCCAGGUGACUACCUCAUGAAGCUCGGGCUCCAGCCCAGCUGUCUAAGGCAAUUCAUCUCAGUGCAAGAGGCGUCACUACAGUCCCUGGUUCGAUUCUAGGCUGUAUCACAUCUGGCCAUGAUUGGGAGUCCCAUAGUGCGGCGCACAAUUGGCCCAGCGUCGUCCGGGUUAGGCCGGGGUCGGCCGUCAUUGUAAAUAAGAAUUGGUUUGUAACUGACUUGCCUAGUUAAAUAAAGGUUCAAUUUUUUAAAAAACAUGAAGAAAAGCUGGUUGAGAGAAUGCCACGAGCGUGCAAUACUACCAUCAAGGAAAAGGGUGGCUACUUUGAAGAAUCUCAAAUAUAUUUAGAUUUUUUUCUAACACUUUUUUGGUUACUACAUGAUUCCAUAUGUGUUAUUUCAUAGUUUUGAUGUCUUCACUAUUAUUCUACAAUGUAGAAAAUGUGUAAAAUAAAGAAAAUGCUGGAAUAAGUAGGUGUGUCCAAACGUUUGACUGAUACUGUAUAUAAAUAUAUAUAUAUAUAUAUAAUAAUAAUAAAUAAAUGACAAAAUAAACAUGCUUUUUCAUGUAAUUUCCUUAACUAGAUUCAGGCUUAAAUGUUAAGUUUAACAAAUCUACUCAAUAAAUAAUGGUGUGCUAAUGCUUGUCAUUAAGCUACUUUGUUGACCCAUCAGCUAAUGUUAAAAGGCAAAAGCUGUGUUCUCUUCUGUCCUGAAUAGAUUGAUGGAUUCUCUUGAGGAGAAAACUGGGAUCACUCCUGUGAUUACUUACAGGUGUUAUUGCUCUGUUGCAUAAAGCCUGGGUUGUUUUUC
RNA transcript from Oncorhynchus nerka (sockeye salmon), 4632 nucleotides. It is a transcript of the gene named E3 ubiquitin-protein ligase znrf1-like, with no coding region annotated. The transcript has 6 exons. NCBI's taxonomy places the organism in Eukaryota, Metazoa, Chordata, Actinopteri, Salmoniformes, Salmonidae. The record is from RefSeq and is a predicted model, not a curated record.